GCUCCUACGGGAGGCAGCAGUGGGGAAUAUUGCACAAUGGGGGGAACCCUGAUGCAGCGACGCCGCGUGAGCGAUGAAGUAUUUCGGUAUGUAAAGCUCUAUCAGCAGGGAAGAAAAUGACGGUACCUGACUAAGAAGCCCCGGCUAACUACGUGCCAGCAGCCGCGGUAAUACGUAGGGGGCAAGCGUUAUCCGGAUUUACUGGGUGUAAAGGGAGCGUAGACGGCUUGGCAAGUCUGGAGUGAAAGGCAUGGGCUCAACCUGUGGACUGCUUUGGAAACUGUGCGGCUUGAGUGUCGUAGAGG
Molecule: ribosomal RNA, 305 nt
Filed under: uncultured bacterium
Lineage: Bacteria
Description: bacterial SSU rRNA
Rfam family: Bacterial small subunit ribosomal RNA
Source: RNAcentral